CCUCUCAUGGUGCAGUGGUAACGCGCCCCAACUAGAGAUCGGGGAGUCGUGAGUUCGAUUCUCACUGAGAAGA
Aedes aegypti (yellow fever mosquito) is the source of this 73-nucleotide non-coding RNA. The record is from Rfam. NCBI's taxonomy places the organism in Eukaryota, Metazoa, Arthropoda, Insecta, Diptera, Culicidae.